GGGUUGUGAGGUUAAGCGACUAAGCGUACACGGUGGAUGCCCUGGCAGUCAGAGGCGAUGAAGGACGUGCUAAUCUGCGAUAAGCGUCGGUAAGGUGAUAUGAACCGUUAUAACCGGCGAUUUCCGAAUGGGGAAACCCAGUGUGAUUCGUCACACUAUCAUUAACUGAAUCCAUAGGUUAAUGAGGCGAACCGGGGGAACUGAAACAUCUAAGUACCCCGAGGAAAAGAAAUCAACCGAGAUUCCCCCAGUAGCGGCGAGCGAACGGGGAGCAGCCCAGAGCCUGAAUCAGCAUGUGUGUUAGUGGAAGCGUCUGGAAAGGCGCGCGAUACAGGGUGACAGCCCCGUACACAAAAAUGCACAUACUGUGAGCUCGAUGAGUAGGGCGGGACACGUGGUAUCCUGUCUGAAUAUGGGGGGACCAUCCUCCAAGGCUAAAUACUCCUGACUGACCGAUAGUGAACCAGUACCGUGAGGGAAAGGCGAAAAGAACCCCGGCGAGGGGAGUGAAAAAGAACCUGAAACCGUGUACGUACAAGCAGUGGGAGCACGCUUAGGCGUGUGACUGCGUACCUUUUGUAUAAUGGGUCAGCGACUUAUAUUCUGUAGCAAGGUUAACCGAAUAGGGGAGCCGAAGGGAAACCGAGUCUUAACUGGGCGUUAAGUUGCAGGGUAUAGACCCGAAACCCGGUGAUCUAGCCAUGGGCAGGUUGAAGGUUGGGUAACACUAACUGGAGGACCGAACCGACUAAUGUUGAAAAAUUAGCGGAUGACUUGUGGCUGGGGGUGAAAGGCCAAUCAAACCGGGAGAUAGCUGGUUCUCCCCGAAAGCUAUUUAGGUAGCGCCUCGUGAAUUCAUCUCCGGGGGUAGAGCACUGUUUCGGCAAGGGGGUCAUCCCGACUUACCAACCCGAUGCAAACUGCGAAUACCGGAGAAUGUUAUCACGGGAGACACACGGCGGGUGCUAACGUCCGUCGUGAAGAGGGAAACAACCCAGACCGCCAGCUAAGGUCCCAAAGUCAUGGUUAAGUGGGAAACGAUGUGGGAAGGCCCAGACAGCCAGGAUGUUGGCUUAGAAGCAGCCAUCAUUUAAAGAAAGCGUAAUAGCUCACUGGUCGAGUCGGCCUGCGCGGAAGAUGUAACGGGGCUAAACCAUGCACCGAAGCUGCGGCAGCGACGCUGAUGCGUUGUUGGGUAGGGGAGCGUUCUGUAAGCCUGUGAAGGUGUGCUGUGAGGCAUGCUGGAGGUAUCAGAAGUGCGAAUGCUGACAUAAGUAACGAUAAAGCGGGUGAAAAGCCCGCUCGCCGGAAGACCAAGGGUUCCUGUCCAACGUUAAUCGGGGCAGGGUGAGUCGACCCCUAAGGCGAGGCCGAAAGGCGUAGUCGAUGGGAAACAGGUUAAUAUUCCUGUACUUGGUGUUACUGCGAAGGGGGGACGGAGAAGGCUAUGUUGGCCGGGCGACGGUUGUCCCGGUUUAAGCGUGUAGGCUGGUUUUCCAGGCAAAUCCGGAAAAUCAAGGCUGAGGCGUGAUGACGAGGCACUACGGUGCUGAAGCAACAAAUGCCCUGCUUCCAGGAAAAGCCUCUAAGCAUCAGGUAACAUCAAAUCGUACCCCAAACCGACACAGGUGGUCAGGUAGAGAAUACCAAGGCGCUUGAGAGAACUCGGGUGAAGGAACUAGGCAAAAUGGUGCCGUAACUUCGGGAGAAGGCACGCUGAUAUGUAGGUGAAGUCCCUUGCGGAUGGAGCUGAAAUCAGUCGAAGAUACCAGCUGGCUGCAACUGUUUAUUAAAAACACAGCACUGUGCAAACACGAAAGUGGACGUAUACGGUGUGACGCCUGCCCGGUGCCGGAAGGUUAAUUGAUGGGGUCAGCGCAAGCGAAGCUCUUGAUCGAAGCCCCGGUAAACGGCGGCCGUAACUAUAACGGUCCUAAGGUAGCGAAAUUCCUUGUCGGGUAAGUUCCGACCUGCACGAAUGGCGUAAUGAUGGCCAGGCUGUCUCCACCCGAGACUCAGUGAAAUUGAACUCGCUGUGAAGAUGCAGUGUACCCGCGGCAAGACGGAAAGACCCCGUGAACCUUUACUAUAGCUUGACACUGAACAUUGAGCCUUGAUGUGUAGGAUAGGUGGGAGGCUUUGAAGUGUGGACGCCAGUCUGCAUGGAGCCGACCUUGAAAUACCACCCUUUAAUGUUUGAUGUUCUAACGUUGACCCGUAAUCCGGGUUGCGGACAGUGUCUGGUGGGUAGUUUGACUGGGGCGGUCUCCUCCUAAAGAGUAACGGAGGAGCACGAAGGUUGGCUAAUCCUGGUCGGACAUCAGGAGGUUAGUGCAAUGGCAUAAGCCAGCUUGACUGCGAGCGUGACGGCGCGAGCAGGUGCGAAAGCAGGUCAUAGUGAUCCGGUGGUUCUGAAUGGAAGGGCCAUCGCUCAACGGAUAAAAGGUACUCCGGGGAUAACAGGCUGAUACCGCCCAAGAGUUCAUAUCGACGGCGGUGUUUGGCACCUCGAUGUCGGCUCAUCACAUCCUGGGGCUGAAGUAGGUCCCAAGGGUAUGGCUGUUCGCCAUUUAAAGUGGUACGCGAGCUGGGUUUAGAACGUCGUGAGACAGUUCGGUCCCUAUCUGCCGUGGGCGCUGGAGAACUGAGGGGGGCUGCUCCUAGUACGAGAGGACCGGAGUGGACGCAUCACUGGUGUUCGGGUUGUCAUGCCAAUGGCACUGCCCGGUAGCUAAAUGCGGAAGAGAUAAGUGCUGAAAGCAUCUAAGCACGAAACUUGCCCCGAGAUGAGUUCUCCCUGACUCCUUGAGAGUCCUGAAGGAACGUUGAAGACGACGACGUUGAUAGGCCGGGUGUGUAAGCGCAGCGAUGCGUUGAGCUAACCGGUACUAAUGAACCGUGAGGCUUAACCUUACAACGCCGAAGCUGUU
RNAcentral lists this ribosomal RNA (2930 nucleotides) under Escherichia coli. RNAcentral describes it as "23S ribosomal RNA". It matches the Rfam family "Bacterial large subunit ribosomal RNA". Lineage: Bacteria; Pseudomonadati; Pseudomonadota; Gammaproteobacteria; Enterobacterales; Enterobacteriaceae. The record is from RNAcentral.